CACGGAGUUAGCCGAUGCUUUUUCUUCGGAUACACGCAGUCCGGGACACGUCCCGGGUUUUGUUCUCCGACAAAAGAGGUUUACAACCCAUAGGGCCGUCUUCCCUCACGCGGCUUGGCUGGUUCAGGAUCCCUCCCAUUGACCAAUAUUCCUCACUGCUGCCUCCCGUAGGAGUCUGGUCCGUGUCUCAGUACCAGUGUGGGGGACCUUCCUCUCAGAACCCCUACGCAUCGUCGCCACGGUGGGCCGUUACCCCGCCGUCAAGCUAAUGCGCCGCAUGCCCAUCCUCUUCCGAUGAAUCUUUCCUCGAUCUCGGAUGCCCGAAACCGAUAUACGCGGGAUUAGCCUCCCUUUCGGAAGGUUGUCCCCCUGAAGAGGGCAGGUUGCAUACGUGUUACUCACCCGUGCGCCGGUCGCCGGCAAGGAAAGCAAGCUUCCCUCCCGAUGCCCCUCGACUUGCAUGUGUUAAGCCUGCCGCUAGCGUUCAUCCUGAGCCAGGAUCAAACUCU
This 509-nucleotide ribosomal RNA is filed under the name uncultured Bacteroidales bacterium. RNAcentral's name for it is "partial 16S ribosomal RNA". Lineage: Bacteria; Pseudomonadati; Bacteroidota; Bacteroidia; Bacteroidales. The record is from RNAcentral.